UACAGAGGGUGCGAGCGUUGUCCGGAAUCACUGGGCGUAAAGGGCGCGUAGGUGGUGGCUUAAGCGUGCGGUGAAAGCUCGGGGCUCAACUCCGAGUCGGCCGUGCGAACUGGGCUCACUGGAGCAUAGUAGAGGCAGGUGGAAUUCCGGGUGUAGCGGUGGAAUGCGCAGAUAUCAGGAGGAACACCGGUGGCGAAGGCGGGUCUCUGGGCAGUAACUGACGCUGAGGAGCGAAAGCGUGGGGAGCGAACAGG
Molecule: ribosomal RNA, 254 nt
Filed under: uncultured bacterium
Lineage: Bacteria
Description: partial 16S ribosomal RNA
Rfam family: Bacterial small subunit ribosomal RNA
Source: RNAcentral